RNAcentral lists this ribosomal RNA (253 nucleotides) under uncultured bacterium. RNAcentral's name for it is "partial 16S ribosomal RNA". It matches the Rfam family "Bacterial small subunit ribosomal RNA", at positions 524 to 776 of the family's 1533-position model. The record is from RNAcentral.
UACGUAGGGGGCAAGCGUUGUCCGGAUUUAUUGGGCGUAAAGAGCGUGUAGGCGGUUUGGUAGGUCCGUUGUGAAAACUCGAGGCUCAACCUCGAGACGCCGAUGGAAACCAUCAGACUAGAGUCCGGAAGAGGAGAGUGGAAUUCCCGGUGUAGCGGUGAAAUGCGCAGAUAUCGGGAGGAACACCAAUGGCGAAGGCAGCUUGCUGGGACGGUACUGACGCUGAGGCGCGAAAGCGUGGGGAGCAAACAGG